AGCGAACGCUGGCGGCAGGCUUAACACAUGCAAGUCGAGCGGGCCCUUCGGGGUCAGCGGCGGACGGGGGAGUAACGCGUGGGAACGUGCCUUCGGGUCUGGAAUAACUCUGGGAAACGAGGGCUAAUACCGGAUACGCGCUAUUGGGGAAAGGUUUACUGCCGGAAGAUCGGCCCGCGUCUGAUUAGCUAGUUGGUUGGGUAACGGACUACCAAGGCGACGAUCAGUAGCUGGUCUGAGAGGCGGAUCAGCCACACUUGGACUGAGACACGGCCCGGACUCCUCCGGGAGGCAGCAGUGCGGGAUGUUGGACCAUCGGCGCAAGCCUGAUCCAGCCCUGCCGCGUGAGUGAUGUAGGCAUUGGGGUUGUAAAGCUCUUUUAUCCGGGACCAUAAUGACGGUACCGGAGGAAUAAGCCCCGGCUAACUUCGUG
This 433-nucleotide ribosomal RNA is filed under the name uncultured bacterium. RNAcentral describes it as "partial 16S ribosomal RNA". It matches the Rfam family "Bacterial small subunit ribosomal RNA", at positions 28 to 507 of the family's 1533-position model. The record is from RNAcentral.